This 253-nucleotide ribosomal RNA is filed under the name uncultured bacterium. Its description in RNAcentral is "partial 16S ribosomal RNA". It matches the Rfam family "Bacterial small subunit ribosomal RNA", at positions 524 to 776 of the family's 1533-position model. The record is from RNAcentral.
UACGAAGGGUGCAAGCGUUAAUCGGAAUUACUGGGCGUAAAGCGCGCGUAGGUGGUUCAGUAAGUUGAAGGUGAAAUCCCCGGGCUCAACCUGGGAACUGCCUCCAAAACUGCUGAGCUAGAGUAUGGUAGAGGGUAGUGGAAUUUCCUGUGUAGCGGUGAAAUGCGUAGAUAUAGGAAGGAACACCAGUGGCGAAGGCGACUACCUGGACUAAUACUGACACUGAGGUGCGAAAGCGUGGGGAGCAAACAGG